This 304-nucleotide ribosomal RNA is filed under the name uncultured bacterium. RNAcentral's name for it is "partial 16S ribosomal RNA". It matches the Rfam family "Bacterial small subunit ribosomal RNA", at positions 506 to 807 of the family's 1533-position model. The record is from RNAcentral.
CAGCAGUAGCCACGGGAAUACGGAGGAUCCAAGCGUUAUCCGGAAUCAUUGGGUUUAAAGGGUCCGUAGGCGGUCUUGUAAGUCAGUGGUGAAAGCCCAUCGCUCAACGGUGGAACGGCCAUUGAUACUGCAGGACUUGAAUUAUUGGGAAGUAACUAGAAUAUGUAGUGUAGCGGUGAAAUGCUUAGAGAUUACAUGGAAUACCAAUUGCGAAGGCAGGUUACUACCAAUUGAUUGACGCUGAUGGACGAAAGCGUGGGUAGCGAACAGGAUUAGAUACCCGAGUAGUCCCUGUCUCUUAUAC